This 858-nucleotide ribosomal RNA is filed under the name Amolops panhai. RNAcentral's name for it is "partial 16S rRNA". It matches the Rfam family "Bacterial large subunit ribosomal RNA", at positions 1473 to 2595 of the family's 2925-position model. Lineage: Eukaryota; Metazoa; Chordata; Amphibia; Anura; Ranidae. The record is from RNAcentral.
CAAAGCUUAUCAUUUUAACAUCCUUAAUUCCUCAACUCUAAAUUAACCCUUCACCAAUACUGAACUAUUUUAUACUAAUAUAAAAGUUAUUAUGCUAGAACUAGUAACAAGAAAUUGCUUUCUCCAAAAUGUAUGUUUAAACCAACACGGACAAACCAUUGGUAAUUAACACAAAUGCAUUAAUCUUAGUAACACCUCCAGAAAACUCUAAGAAUUUAAGUGUUCAUCUUACACUAGAACAUUACAGGAAAGAUUAAAAGAAAGGGAAGGAACUCGGCAAAUCAUAGUCCCGCCUGUUUACCAAAAACAUCGCCUCCUGAUAAACAUAGGAGGUCUAGCCUGCCCAGUGACAACGUUCAACGGCCGCGGUACCCUAACCGUGCGAAGGUAGCAUAAUCACUUGUUCUUUAAAUGGGGACUCGUAUCAACGGCACCACGAGGACUAUACUGUCUCCCCUCUCCAAUCAGUGAAACUGAUCUCCCCGUGAAGAAGCGGGGAUUUAACUAUAAGACGAGAAGACCCCAUGGAGCUUCAGACUUAAUAUACACCCUUGCACAUCUAUAACAGUAUAGCUAUUAAAAUAUGUAUAUUGUCUUCGGUUGGGGGGACCGCGGAGUAAAACUCAACCUCCACGACAAACGGGCCAACGCCCUUAUCCAAGAAACACAUUUCUAAGAGUCAAUAAAUUGUUGUUUAUGACCCAUUAAAUGAUCAACGAACCAAGUUACCCUGGGGAUAACAGCGCAAUCUACUUCAAGAGCCCCUAUCGACAAGUAGGUUUACGACCUCGAUGUUGGAUCAGGGAAUCCCAGUGGCGCAACCGCUACUAAUGGUUCGUUUGUUCAACGAUUAAAACC